AGGGUGGAGAGCCCUCAAUCGAACCAUGACUCCACCCCUGGAAGAUCCCUGCCCCCAUUCUGCCAGAGGACCCUAGAGACUCGAAGUCGGGAGGAUUUCCUGGACCGGAGACUCCAGGAGAUGAACCGGCGAAUCGAAGAACUCCGCCAUGCUCCCCCCACUUAUGGUGAGGAUAUUUGUACGGACCCUCCCUUCUCUCAAAUGAUC
This 207-nucleotide long non-coding RNA is filed under the name Elaeis guineensis (African oil palm). RNAcentral's name for it is "long non-coding RNA (EGUI_LNC032504)". The record is from RNAcentral. Lineage: Eukaryota; Viridiplantae; Streptophyta; Magnoliopsida; Arecales; Arecaceae.